GACAGAGGGGGCAAGCGUUGCUCGGAAUCACUGGGCGUAAAGGGCGCGUAGGCGGGAUGGCAAGUCAGUCGUGAAAUCUCUCGGCUCAACCGAGAAACGUCGGCUGAUACUGCCGUUCUUGAGGGAUGCAGAGGAGACUGGAAUUCCAGGUGUAGCGGUGAAAUGCGUAGAUAUCUGGAGGAACACCGGUGGCGAAGGCGGCAUCCUGGACCGGUAUUGACGCUGAGGCGCGAAAGCCAGGGGAGCAAACGGG
Molecule: ribosomal RNA, 253 nt
Filed under: uncultured bacterium
Lineage: Bacteria
Description: partial 16S ribosomal RNA
Rfam family: Bacterial small subunit ribosomal RNA
Source: RNAcentral